ACGACGAAAAAUCAAAGAAAAGAGAAGGAUGGAACAGGAGACUUCUUCUCCGACAAAAUCUGACGACACCAAUCGUCGGCAAUCGUGCUCAUAGGUACGAAAAGAAAGGAAGAGAAGAGAGAAAGAGGAAUCGUGCUUACCUCGAGCUUCGGUGACCUCUCCGACGAGAAAUCGAGAUGAGCAUGAUAAAAGGAGGCUGCGUCUUCAAUCGAAAAAGACAAGA
This 223-nucleotide long non-coding RNA is filed under the name Elaeis guineensis (African oil palm). RNAcentral's name for it is "long non-coding RNA (EGUI_LNC025731)". The record is from RNAcentral. Lineage: Eukaryota; Viridiplantae; Streptophyta; Magnoliopsida; Arecales; Arecaceae.